Molecule: ribosomal RNA, 514 nt
Filed under: uncultured bacterium
Lineage: Bacteria
Description: bacterial SSU rRNA
Rfam family: Bacterial small subunit ribosomal RNA
Source: RNAcentral
GACGCUCGCGGCGUGCUUAACACAUGCAAGUCGAGCGAUGAAACUACUUCGGUAGUGAAUUAGCGGCGAACGGGUGAGGAACACGUGAGGAAUCUGCCUUCAACACUGGGAUAACUCCGGGAAACCGGGGCUAAUACCGGAUACGAGCCUUGAUCGCAUGAUCGGGGCUGGAAAGUUUUUCGGUUGAAGAUGACCUCGCGGCCUAUCAGCUUGUUGGUGAGGUAAUGGCUCACCAAGGCGACGACGGGUAGCCGGCCUGAGAGGGCGACCGGCCACACUGGGACUGAGACACGGCCCAGACUCCUACGGGAGGCAGCAGUGGGGAAUAUUGGGCAAUGGAGGAAACUCUGACCCAGCGACGCCGCGUGCGGGAUGAAGGCCUUCGGGUUGUAAACCGCUCUCAGUAGGGAAGAAGCGAAAGUGACGGUACCUACAGAAGAAGCACCGGCUAACUAUGUGCCAGCAGCCCGCGGUAAUACAUAGGGUGCAAGCGUUGUCCGAAUUUUGGCCGUAC